GCCUGGGUGGCUCAGUUGGCUGAGCAUCCGACUUCAGCUCAGGUCAUGAUCUCACAGCUCGUGGGUUCGAGCCCCGCGUCAGGCU
RNAcentral lists this transfer RNA (85 nucleotides) under Felis catus (domestic cat). It matches the Rfam family "tRNA". Rfam says of the family: Transfer RNA (tRNA) molecules are approximately 80 nucleotides in length. Their secondary structure includes four short double-helical elements and three loops (D, anti-codon, and T loops). The record is from Rfam by way of RNAcentral. Lineage: Eukaryota; Metazoa; Chordata; Mammalia; Carnivora; Felidae. RNAcentral also lists the same sequence under 2 other names.